Pseudoliparis swirei is the source of this 376-nucleotide long non-coding RNA. RefSeq lists it as uncharacterized. The transcript is spliced from 3 exons. Lineage: Eukaryota; Metazoa; Chordata; Actinopteri; Perciformes; Liparidae. The record is from RefSeq and is a predicted model, not a curated record.
UAAGGCCAUAGAGUAAGUGCAAAUGUAAACCAACAUUAUUUUCCUUUCAUCCUGCAGACAGUAUUUCAAAAUGCGCCGGAACCGACUUGGAAAGGAGGACUGGGUUAACAUCAAGUGGCAGCCGGGCCAGAUAACCCACAGCUGCCAGAAAGAUGGCAGCAGUUGUGGGAUCUUUGUCAUGCAGAUGGCCAAGAUGACGGUGAUGGAACUUCCAAAGAUUCCGCAGCAUUUUCGCAUCGACUCAUCUAAACAAUCUAUUGAAAAGCUAAGAAGAAAGAUGGCUGAAGACAUUCUGAAACAAUCAGUUUCAAAGGAUGAGCUCUGUUCCUUCUGUGGAAUUGAGGACCUGCCCAAAACUGCGGUUGAUGCUGUUUGG